This 281-nucleotide ribosomal RNA is filed under the name uncultured Staphylococcus sp. RNAcentral's name for it is "partial 16S ribosomal RNA". It matches the Rfam family "Bacterial small subunit ribosomal RNA", at positions 81 to 355 of the family's 1533-position model. The record is from RNAcentral. Lineage: Bacteria; Bacillati; Bacillota; Bacilli; Caryophanales; Staphylococcaceae.
CUCCUUUGACGUUAGCGGCGGACGGGUGAGUAACACGUGGGUAACCUACCUAUAAGACUGGGAUAACUUCGGGAAACCGUAGCUAAUACCGGAUAAUAUUUCGAACCGCAUGGUUCGAUAGUGAAAGGUGGUUUUGCUAUCACUUAUAGAUGGACCCGCGCCGUAUUAGCUAGUUGGUAAGGUAACGGCUUACCAAGGCGACGAUACGUAGCCGACCUGAGAGGGUGAUCGGCCACACUGGAACUGAGACACGGUCCAGACUCCUACGGGAGGCAGCAGCC